CCUACGGGGGGCAGCAGUGAGGAAUAUUGGUCAAUGGCCGUAAGGCUGAACCAGCCAAGUCGCGUGAAGGAAGAAGGAUCUAUGGUUUGUAAACUUCUUUUAUAGGGGAAUAAAGGUAUCCACGUGUGGAUAUUUGCAUGUACCCUAUGAAUAAGCAUCGGCUAACUCCGUGCCAGCAGCCGCGGUAAUACGGAGGAUGCGAGCGUUAUCGGGAUUUAUUGGGUUUAAAGGGGGCGUAGGUUGUGUUGUAAGUCAGAGGUGAAAGUUUGUGGCUCAACCAUAAAAUUGCCGUUGAAACUGGAAGACUUGAGUGUGUUUGAGGUAGGCGGAAUGCGUGGUGUAGCGGUGAAAUGCAUAGAUAUCACGAAGAACACCGAUUGCGAAGGCAGCUUACUAGGCCAUAACUGACACUGAGGCACGAAAGCGUGGGGAGCAAACAGGAUUAGAUACCCCGGUAGUC
This 460-nucleotide ribosomal RNA is filed under the name uncultured bacterium. RNAcentral describes it as "partial 16S ribosomal RNA". It matches the Rfam family "Bacterial small subunit ribosomal RNA", at positions 338 to 795 of the family's 1533-position model. The record is from RNAcentral.